This 1170-nucleotide ribosomal RNA is filed under the name Mastigoproctus giganteus (giant whipscorpion). Its description in RNAcentral is "16S ribosomal RNA". The stretch from base 498 to 1170 matches the Rfam family "Archaeal large subunit ribosomal RNA", at positions 1423 to 2810 of the family's 2987-position model. The record is from RNAcentral. Lineage: Eukaryota; Metazoa; Arthropoda; Arachnida; Uropygi; Thelyphonidae.
AAAACUCUGCAUAUUGGGGUUAAAAUUAGUUUUUCAUGUAUGGAAAGAAAUAUUUUGAUAAUAAUGGACUGAAAAGGUUAAAUAUAAUUUCAUAAAAAGUGUGUAUGCGUUUACCUUUUGUAUCAGGAUUUUACUAUAAAGAAUAAAAUUAUAUUUAUCCCGAAAAAUAAAGAGCUAAUAAAAUUUAAUUUUACGUUGUAGUGUAAUAUAUAAAUUUUUAUUGGGAGUGAAAUGCUAUUCGAUUUAUUUGAUAUCUGGUUCAAAAUUUAUUUAAUUUUAGAUUAGGUAAGAAAUUUUUAAUGGUUUAGCAUUAGAAAUUUUUAUAAAGUGAGAUAAUUUUAUUUGAUGUUGGUUUAAUAGUAAUAAGGUAUGUAAUAAUAAAAAUUGUUGAAAAAUUUCUUUUAAAAAAGGUUUUGAUAUUAAUUAAUAAAAUUGAAUAUAAUGUAAUAAUAAGUAGAAAACUAUAUAAAAAUAAAAAUUUAAAGUUUUAUAGAAAUUGUUUACUGAAAAUAAUACUUGAGAAUUCGGCAAAUUUUUUAUUCACCUGUUUACCAAAAACAUGGCUUUUUGGUAAUGAAAAAAAGUCUGGCCUGCUCACUGAUGAGUUUAAGAGCCGCGGUAUUUUGACUGUGCGAAGGUAGCAUAAUCAUUAGUCUUUUAAUUGAGGACUGGAAUGAAAGGUUUGAUGAAUAAAAACUAUUUAGUGUUAAAUUUUGAAAUUAGAUUUAUUGUAAAAAUACAAUAUAGAAAGUAUGGGACGAUAAGACCCUAUCGAGCUUUAUUAAAUUAAUUUGAUGAUGAAAUUUAUUUUCUCUUAUUAAGUAAGGUUUAAUUUUGCUGGGGUGGUAAAUAAAAAAUCUUUGUUUAUUUUUAAAAACUAACAAGUUAGGAAAUUUGAUCUAUUUUUGUAAAUUUGGAAAAGCUACCGUAGGGAUAACAGUGUAAUUUAUUUGAAAAGACCAUAUUGAUAAAUAAGAUUACUACCUCGAUGUUGAAUUAAAAUAACUUUAAGGUGCAAGAGCUUUAAAAGUGAGUCUGUUCGACUUUUAAAAUUUUACAUGAUUUGAGUUCAAAUCGGUGUAAGCCAGGUUGGAUUCUAUCUAUAUUUAAAGAAAGAUUAGUUUUAGUACGAAAGGGCCAAACUAAUAAAAUUGUUUUUGAUAAAAAAAC